UACGUAGGGCGCGAGCGUUGUCCGGAUUUAUUGGGCGUAAAGAGCUCGUAGGCGGUUUGUCGCGUCGUCCGUGAAAACUCACAGCUUAACUGUGAGCUUGCGGUCGAUACGGGCAGGCUAGAGUUCGGUAGGGGAGACUGGAAUUCCUGGUGUAGCGGUGAAAUGCGCAGAUAUCAGGAGGAACACCGGUGGCGAAGGCGGGUCUCUGGGCCGAUACUGACGCUGAGGAGCGAAAGCGUGGGGAGCGAACAGG
This 253-nucleotide ribosomal RNA is filed under the name uncultured bacterium. RNAcentral's name for it is "partial 16S ribosomal RNA". It matches the Rfam family "Bacterial small subunit ribosomal RNA", at positions 524 to 776 of the family's 1533-position model. The record is from RNAcentral.